RNAcentral lists this ribosomal RNA (387 nucleotides) under Triticum aestivum (bread wheat). RNAcentral's name for it is "partial small subunit ribosomal RNA". Lineage: Eukaryota; Viridiplantae; Streptophyta; Magnoliopsida; Poales; Poaceae. The record is from RNAcentral.
AUGGCCAAAUACUGGUGGAGCAGUAACCUUGAUCACCGGUCUUUACACUGGCUGUCUUGGAAAAUGCUAGCUGCACCUAAAAUUAAAGGAGGAAUGGGGUUCAAAGACUUGCAACUAUUCAACCUUGCACUACUCGGCAAUCACGGGUGGCGCUUGAUGACGAACCCAAAUUCUUUGUGCUCGCGGGUCCUAAAAGGAAGAUAUUUCCAUUCUUGUGAUUUCAUGCAAGCUACUGCACCCAAAUUUUCCUUAGCUGUUUGGCGGGCUAUUAUUGCAGGAAGGGAAGCGUUGAGAACCGGCCUGCUAAACCGCAUUGGAAGCGGUACGUCCGUUUCUAUCUGGGAGGACAAACGGAUUCCUGACACCAGAUCUAUGACCCUAGUGUGA